This is a long non-coding RNA of Callithrix jacchus (white-tufted-ear marmoset), 3966 nucleotides long. Lineage: Eukaryota; Metazoa; Chordata; Mammalia; Primates; Cebidae. The record is from Ensembl.
AUGAGCAUCCUUGAGUGCCCGCUCCCCGCGAUCCUCAGCAUCUCUAAUGGCAGCCUCCAGGGAAGCCCUCUGGCCUUUGAGGCCCUCGAUCUCAGCCUGGAGCCGGCUGAUGUUCCAGUUCAUCUCGGAGAUCUCAGUCUUCGUACACCGCAGGUCAUCCCCGUGCUUCCCAGCCAGCAUCUGCAACUCCUCAUACUUGAUCUGGUAUAUGCUCUCCGCCUCAGCCCGGCUGCUGUUGGCGAUCUCCUCGUACUGCGCCUUGACCUCGGCAAUGAUGCCAUCCAUGUCCAGAGAGCGGCUGUUGUCUAUGGACAGCACCACAGACGUGUCGGAGAUCUGGGACUGCAGCUCCCGGAUCUCCUCUUCAUACAGCUGCCUGAGGAAGUUGAUCUCGUCAGUCAGUCCUUCCAGGCGAGACUCCAGCUCUACCUUGUUCAUGUAAGCUUCAUCCACAUCCUUCUUGAUGAGGACAAAUCCAUUCUCCAUCUCUGUAUGCUUAUUGAUCUCUUCCUCAUACUUGUUCUUGAAGUCCUCCACCAGCCCCUGCAUGUUGCCAAGCUCCGCCUCCAGCUUCAGCUUCUCCUGGCCCAGAGUCUCCAGCUGCCGCCUCAGGUUGUUGAUGUAGUUCUCAAACAUGUUGUCCAUGUUGCUCCUAGCCGUUUUCUGCUGCUGCAGGAGGCUCCACUUGGUCUCCAGCAUCUUGUUCUGCUGCUCCAGGAACCGCACCUUGUCGAUGAAGGAAGCAAACUUGUUGCUGAGGGUCUUGAUCUGCUCCUUCUCCUGGGUACGCACGGCCUGGAUGUUGGGGUCCACAUCCACCUUAAUGGGGUUCAGCAGGCUCUGGUUGAUGGUGACGGCGGUGAUGCCUCCCAUGCCUAUGCCGCUGGCCCCAAAAUAGCCUGCACCCAGGCCACCCCGGAAGCCACUACUGCAGAUAGGAAAUAAACAUUCUUCAACAUGCCCAAAUACAAAGAUAAAUUUGUACCAAAAUUAUUCCUUAUGAAAAGCAGAGUUAUUUUUCAUCCUUAAAAUAUUUUCUUAUCAAAGGGCACCCUCCCAAUUACUAUAUUCUGAACAGCAAUGUUUCUUGUGGGAAGAGACAACAGCCUGAAAUUAUCUCAACUAAUGGUAGUUUGAAUUUCAUAUAAGUAAUAAAAUUUAAAAAGAAGAAAAUUUUAACAGAGAUUUAACAGCUAUUUAUAGAGGGAUUAAUUCACUGUUGUAAGUUUGAGGUAUUUUAAUAGUGCAGCCUUUUAAAGAUUGGCUAAGAAAUGGAUAACAGCAGUAGUGAUGUUGAAAGACCAUAAAUAUAGAUCCUUAGGCCAAAAAAAAAAAAAAAAAAGAAAGAAACAAAAGAAAUUGCCCUCAUACUAUGUGAAUGAUAUUCUGUGACUUGGGAAAAACAUCCUGUUGGUUCCAAAAAUGUUGUAUCUUACAUAUUUAGACAGUAAUAAAAAUGAAGUUGGGAGUUAUCUAACUCAAUAUAUGCUUCCAGCGGUAAUGAGGAAAGGGAUGCUGAAAGGGCAAGUGACAGUUAAAAAAACUUACCUGGGGAAUUGUAAGGCUGAUAAAAGUAAGUUUUAAAAACUAAUUUAUUAUGUUACAUAUUUAGUGUUAGGUGUUUAUGUAAUUAAGUUAAAUACUAUAAAAAGAUAUUUACAUUACUAAUGGUAUUAUUGAAUAUUCCCCGUUACUCCUACAUAUUCUUACUAGAGGAAACACAUGCAUGGUUUCUUAGUCUCAAUUAGAAAACCAGUUUAUUUAUGAACACAUAAAGUAUCUUAAAGCAUACAUAAUUAAAUUUAAAAUAAAUUAAAAUAUGCAAUAGUAUUAUCCUGAAAUUCUCCUAAUAUUUUUACUUUAGGCUGAUGCUUGGUUUCCAAAAGGACGAUCCUUCCAGAGCACUAUAACUACUGGGAUUGACAAACUUUUCAUGCUUUAUCAAGUAGAAGGAGAAUAGAAAUUUCAUGCAAUUCAACAUCUUCUACAAAUAAAGAACAUAUAGCAGUCUCCAAAUACAAAGGAAUAGUUCUAGGAAAAGAAAUUUGGGGUGAGAAAUGGCCCAAGAGUGAUUCUAUUUUUUUUCUUCAGUUACCAUUUAUACUAAAGUGAAUGAAGGUACUCUUCUGUGAUCUACAGGGCAUAAUAUGGGCUAAGGAUGCCAAGUAUACUGUGUAAAAGCAUUUUCUGACCAUAGUGGUUCCAUAUACUUAUGAAAUACUACAUAAGGUUUAUACGGUCUGAAAGCUUUCAAAUGUGAACAUUCUUCUAACUUUUUGGUAGCUAGUAAACUGGAAUCUCAAAAAAGACUAUUAGAACUUGACAGUUUCUCUCUGGCUUAGGCUAUGUGUUCUUAGAAAAGAACACAUAGAGAGACUUGAAUUCGAAUCAUUGUCACUUUCAAGUGUAACUCUGGGAAAGUCCCUUAACUCAUUUUACAAAGUAAUCCAAUAACACCAACCAUCCACAACAGUGAUGGGAACUUCAAUUAGUCAAUGAGUAUUUAUUAAACACCUAAUGUGUGUCAGCUACUAUGCUAGGUUCAAGGAGAAAACAGCUAUUAUGUUAAAAAAGAUAGAAUUACUUCCCACCAGGUUCCUCCCUCAACAUGUGGGGAUUAUAAUUCAAGAUGAGAUUUGAGGGGGGAAACAGAGCCAAAGCAUAUCAAGUAUUAAAUAAGAUAAAGGGAAAAACACUUUAUUAGAGAAUGUUCCUAAAUCUUUAAGAGCAUUCCUCAGGGAAUAGUCUUAGAGUUAGUUCACCAAAACUAAACUGAGACAAGGACUUAGUGUAUCUGGGACACAAUCCCAGGGGGUACAUGUAAGGAAGUGGGGAAGUGAGACGGCAGAGUGACAGAAGCCAUAGAAAAGUGUAUAUUAAUGAUCAAGACACUGCUAUGAGUUACUGCUGCUCAGUCCCACUGAGAACUCUCUAAGAAACCAUGAAGAUCCUGAUAUAAAAUCAUAACACAAAAUCAUCUUUUUGGAAAUGAAAUAACUUAUCCACUGACUACUACUCCUCAAUUGUCCCUAAGCAUGUGAACUUCCCCCUACUUACAGGUUACACCCAGCUUGUGGCCGAGCAACUUCUCUGAUAUCCUCUGGUAGAAGAGAGUUGAAGGUGUCUGAAAUGGAUAUUUUUUUCAAAAUGCAGAAACUGUCUAUCACAGCCUAAAGAAUUUAAGUGGGCAAAAGGGUAUUGGGGGUGACUUUAACAACUUCUGCUUCAAGACGUUGUUGAGAUAUUUUAUCUACCAAAAUUGAGUGUUAUACUUUUUCUCCUACAGCUGUAAUCAUCAAACACGCCUUAUUAUUUAUACAGCCCACUUUGAUUCUACAUCCAACAAAGAAAAUAUCUAAGAAGUAUGUAGGUUGCAAAUUCCAAUUAAGCUGAAUACAGAGUCAAAUCUAGGGACAAUAAGCAUCUUUAAUUUCUCAUUCAGAACUCCUGUUCAGCCCUGAGCUAGCAAUAUCAAUUUUACAAAAAGAAGACACUCAUGCAGCUUUAUUUAUUUUUUUUUUAGCUGUUAUUAUCAAUUUGGCUCCAUGGAGUUCUGCUUUACCCAUUCCUAUUGUCUAGCAAAAUGGCUACAUAGAGCAAUAACUUUACUGUCUUCAGUGAUUUUCUGAUGAGAAGCAAGGAGGUCACUGGAGUAUUUUGAAGAUACUGCUAAUCACUCAAUGAAACAGUCCGAGGAUACCAAAAAUGCCCACGUAAUGACAAACAUUUACAGAGUCCUACAGCUUGACAAAGUGAAAAAAGACAGCAGAGUCAGAGUCAGAUAUAUCAGGUUUCAAAUUCUUGCUUUACCUUUACGUGAAUAUUUGACUUCAGGAUUUUGAGUAACCUCUUGUACCCACAGAAAAUCUUAUUGGUAAAAGAGUGAUACAUUAACUAGCACACAAUACUAUGGUGAGACAUAGUAAAUAACAUGUGUAAAAUGCUAUUUACAAUGACAAGUACAUG